GACGAACGCUGGCGGCGUGCCUAAUACAUGCAAGUCGAGCGAGCUUGCCUAGAUGAAUUUGGUGCUUGCACCAGAUGAAACUAGAUACAAGCGAGCGGCGGACGGGUGAGUAACACGUGGGUAACCUGCCCAAGAGACUGGGAUAACACCUGGAAACAGAUGCUAAUACCGGAUAACAACACUAGACGCAUGUCUAGAGUUUAAAAGAUGGUUCUGCUAUCACUCUUGGAUGGACCUGCGGUGCAUUAGCUAGUUGGUAAGGCAACGGCUUACCAAGGCAAUGAUGCAUAGCCGAGUUGAGAGACUGAUCGGCCACAUUGGGACUGAGACACGGCCCAAACUCCUACGGGAGGCAGCAGUAGGGAAUCUUCCACAAUGGACGCAAGUCUGAUGGAGCAACGCCGCGUGAGUGAAGAAGGGUUUCGGCUCGUAAAGCUCUGUUGGUAGUGAAGAAAGAUAGAGGUAGUAACUGGCCUUUAUUUGACGGUAAUUACUUAGAAAGACACGGCUAACUACGUG
This 519-nucleotide ribosomal RNA is filed under the name uncultured bacterium. Its description in RNAcentral is "partial 16S ribosomal RNA". It matches the Rfam family "Bacterial small subunit ribosomal RNA", at positions 28 to 507 of the family's 1533-position model. The record is from RNAcentral.